Molecule: ribosomal RNA, 305 nt
Filed under: uncultured bacterium
Lineage: Bacteria
Description: bacterial SSU rRNA
Rfam family: Bacterial small subunit ribosomal RNA
Source: RNAcentral
CCUACGGGGCGCAGCAGUGGGGAAUAUUGCACAAUGGGGGAAACCCUGAUGCAGCGACGCCGCGUGAGUGAAGAAGUAAUUCGUUAUGUAAAGCUCUAUCAGCAGGGAAGAAAAUGACGGUACCUGAGUAAGAAGCCCCGGCUAACUACGUGCCAGCAGCCGCGGUAAUACGUAGGUGGCAAGCGUUGUUCGGAAUAACUGGGCGUAAAGGAUGCGUAGGCGGUUAAACAAGUUAUAUGUUAAAUAUAUAGGCUUAACCUGUAGAAAGCAUAUAAAACUGUUUAACUAGAGUGCAGGCGAGGUAA